Molecule: ribosomal RNA, 253 nt
Filed under: uncultured bacterium
Lineage: Bacteria
Description: partial 16S ribosomal RNA
Rfam family: Bacterial small subunit ribosomal RNA
Source: RNAcentral
UACAGAGGGGGCUAGCGUUGUUCGGAAUUACUGGGCGUAAAGCGCACGUAGGCGGCUUUGCAAGUCAGAGGUGAAAGCCCGGGGCUCAACCCCGGAAUUGCCUUUGAGACUGCAUCGCUAGAAUUGUGGAGAGGUAAGUGGAAUUCCGAGUGUAGAGGUGAAAUUCGUAGAUAUUCGGAAGAACACCAGUGGCGAAGGCGGCUCACUGGAUCGGUAUUGACGCUGAGGUGCGAAAGCGUGGGGAGCAAACAGG